This 76-nucleotide transfer RNA is filed under the name Chloroflexota bacterium. RNAcentral's name for it is "Chloroflexi bacterium (sediment metagenome) tRNA-Thr". It matches the Rfam family "tRNA". Rfam says of the family: Transfer RNA (tRNA) molecules are approximately 80 nucleotides in length. Lineage: Bacteria; Bacillati; Chloroflexota. The record is from RNAcentral.
GCCGACGUAGCUCAACCGGCAGAGCACCCGCCUUGUAAGCGGGGGGUUACGGGUUCAACUCCCGUCGUCGGCUCCU